GUAAAAGCAAUGAAGGUGUUUUGUAGAGAACUGUACUGCUUGCAGAGAGAGAGGAUCAUCGGCUGGAAGUCCUCUUAAGAAAAGACAGUUAUCGAAUUUCCCACUGGAGCUGCAUAUCUGAAGGAAUCAUUGGCAGUAGGAUAUGUCGUUUUCUGUACGUUACGCAGGAGAGUGUCUAAGAAUUUCCAUGCAUGAAUCAGGCAGUGGAAUUUUUAGAAAUCAGGGUGGUACCGCGGAUGAUUUCGUCCCUAUG
Molecule: non-coding RNA, 253 nt
Filed under: Lachnospiraceae bacterium
Lineage: Bacteria; Bacillati; Bacillota; Clostridia; Lachnospirales; Lachnospiraceae
Description: T-box sequence
Rfam family: T-box leader
About the family: Uncharged tRNA acts as the effector for transcription antitermination of genes in the T-box leader family. T-boxes are found upstream of many aminoacyl-tRNA synthetase genes and some amino acid biosynthetic genes usually in Gram-positive bacteria.
Source: RNAcentral